RNAcentral lists this ribosomal RNA (254 nucleotides) under uncultured bacterium. RNAcentral describes it as "partial 16S ribosomal RNA". It matches the Rfam family "Bacterial small subunit ribosomal RNA", at positions 524 to 776 of the family's 1533-position model. The record is from RNAcentral.
UACGGGGGGGGCAAGCGUUGUUCGGAAUUACUGGGCGUAAAGGGCUCGUAGGCGGCCAACUAAGUCAGACGUGAAAUCCCUCGGCUUAACCGGGGAACUGCAUCUGAUACUGGAUGGCUUGAGGUUGGGAGAGGGAUGCGGAAUUCCAGGUGUAGCGGUGAAAUGCGUAGAUAUCUGGAGGAACACCGGUGGCGAAGGCGGCAUCCUGGACCAAUUCUGACGCUGAGUGAGCGAAAGCCAGGGGAGCAAACGGG